Molecule: transfer RNA, 71 nt
Filed under: Xenophora japonica
Lineage: Eukaryota; Metazoa; Mollusca; Gastropoda; Littorinimorpha; Xenophoridae
Description: tRNA-Glu
Source: RNAcentral
GUUUCUAGGGUGUAUUCAGCACAUUAGAUUUUCAUUCUAAAAGUAUAGACUAUUAAGUUCUAUUAGAAAUA